AUCAGCGUUGCGGCUCGAGGCAAAGCUGGUCCUGUGCCUGCUGUCCAUUGCCGCUAAGGCCUGCUGCUGCCAUUCAGGCGUGUCUCUCUCUCUCUCUCUCUUUCAUGCCGCUCUCUCCACCCCAUCUUGGGACGGCCAGCUCUAAGAAUUCCUGCUACGACACUGAAUUCAACCAGGAGGUGAUGCCACACUCAAUCAGAAACUAUGCUACUGCUGAAGAGGUAUAUUGAGCCCUGCCUGGUUAACCUCCAGUGAGGUUAUUAGAGAAUUGGGAGAGGCUCAAAUCAGCAUCCUGCACCUAGUUAUCAAACCAUUGUGAAGUCUUGAUUCCUGGAUGGCCAGAAAACUUGUCAUUGGUCAAGAGCAACAUUAAGAUCUGCCUGUUACUCAUACUGAUGCUUCCUGCCCAGCAAGUUCAUCAGAGGGCGAGGAUGAAUUACGGUUGCCAUGAAUGUCCUUGUGAGGCAGUUGGGAAGCCUUGGCUGGAUUGUGAAGGAUAUUUGAAAAGUAUUUUAGAGUCCACCAGAUCAUCCAUGUGAGUGACCAUGCAGCAAAAGAAGGAGGGUCCUCUCAGUGAUUAAGGUAACAUAGUGAUUAAGGUAAGUAGGGAAAGAGAGGCUUACUUUGCCCUGAUUCUUGUCAGGGAGGCUCUUAGAGAUGCCAUUUCCAGAGCAUAAGUGACAGGCCAGCAUUUUCAAAGCUUGCAACUUAUUCUAUAAUAUAUCCUUCUUAAAACAAUUCAUGUAGAUUAUAUGCUCACCCAGUCUGGGAUCACUCCUGCAGAAGAUCAGAAGAACUGAAAUAUAGGUGACAUAAGCUCCUGCUUUUGUAAAUGUUUUGUUGAAACACAGUUGUGUUCAUCCAUUAUUGUCGAUGGCAGCUUUCAUGCUACAGCAGAGUUGAGUAGUUGGGAGAGAAACCAAAUGGACCAUAGAGUUUGAAAUAUUACUGUCUGGCCCUUCACAGAAAGUUUGCCAAUUCCUGGCAUAGGUUAAAUAAAUGUACUAUAUCCACAAAUCCUCCUCUCCCCAUUUUCCUUUCAAUGGGACUUGCAUUUACAGUUGAUCCUAGAAUGUAUGGAAUCUCAUAGUAAUCAGCUUGCUUCUGAAUUUCUUCCCACUCAAAUUAAGCUCACUCAGAAAGCACAUUCACAAAUUGGGCUACAUAUACAGAAGGAGCUAUGUUUUAUAUGCCUCACUGUAGUCAACUCAUUUAUCCUAUAUGUAUGGUUCCCCCAUUUUUUCCUUCUUUUCAGGGGUAACUUUUAAACUUGAGCCAUUCAUGAGUAUCCAAAAAGUUACAACUUAUGUUCUCUAAUUAAGACUUCAUCCUUAUUUUAGUAUACUUCCCCUCUCUGGCUUUUUUGCAUAUUUCUGCAGAUGUCUUGACCUUUCUGGGGAGUAAGCCCCCUUAGAAGAUUAAUUUUCUGUAGUUCUCUAUUGAGGAAAUACAUGACAUUUAGCUUUUUAAUAAUUUGAUGCCAUUCAUUGAGUACCUACUGUGUGCUUUAUGUACCCUGUCUCGUUGAAUUUUUACAAAAAACUGAAAGAGUUAGUUUUGUGUUAUUACUACCUCCAUCUCAAAGAUGAGUCUUGGAAAGCUUAAGUAACUUUAGGUCACAUUGUAAUCAGUGGCAGAACUGGGACUUAAGAACAUAAUUCAUGACUGCAUUUUCUUUUCUUUCUUUCUCUUUCUUUCUCUCUCUCUCUUUUUUUUUUUUUUUUAAAGAGAUAGCAUCUCACUCACUAUGUUGCCCAGACUGGUCUUGAACUCUUGGGCUCAAGCAAUUCUUCCACCUCCGCCUCCCAAAGUGUUAGGAUUAUAGGCAUGAGCCCUCAUGCCUGCCCCUUGCAUUUUCUAUUUAAGUGAUCUUGAAGUUUUUUUUUUUCUUUUUUAAAUCUCGGAAUUUGGCCUUUAGUAAGCAUAGAAUAGCAAAGUGUAAUACCUGAGCUGGGGGAAAAAGUCCUUGAAUUCUUUAGGAAAGACUUAAUUGGUGGGUACAAAGUGAAAUGCUCACUGGAAUCAGGAAUCAGAAACCAGUUCUGAUCACCUAUCCCUACAUAUCCUUCUUCACUCUGCCCUGGCAUAUCAUGGUUGAUGUACAUAGCAAUGAUCAUCCCUUCUGUAAUCCCACUUGACAGUUUAGAAGUGGAUUGAUAAUACUCUUCUGGCUUAAAACCCUUCUUCUCUGGGCAGGUGUGGUGGCUCCUACAUUAUCCCAGCACCUUGGGAGGCCGAGAUGGGAGGAUUGUGUGAGCCCAGGAGUUUGAGACCAGCCUGGGUAACAUAGCAAGACCCUGUCUCCACAAAAAAAUAAAAAAUUAACUGGGCACGGUGGUGCUCACGCCUGUAAUCCCAGCACCUGGGGAGGCCGAGGCGGGUGGAUCACGAGGUCAAGAGAUCGAGACCAUCCUGGCCAACAUGGUGAAACCCCGUCUGUACUAAAAAUACAAAAAUUAGCCAGGCGUGAUAGCAGGCGCCUGUAGUUCCAGCUAUGGGAGGCUGAGGCAGGAGAAUCAGAUGAACCUGGGAGACGGAGGUUGCAGUGAGCUGAGAUCACGCCACUGCACUCCAGCCUGGUGACAGAGUGACACUCCGUCUCAAAAAAAAAAAGAAACGAUCACAUCCAGAUGUCCUGUUACUGGAAGGGCACCAUAGUUUAUCCUGCACCUAACACUAAUACACCUACUCUGGGAAUUCUUCUACCUACAACUAUUUAUUUAUCUGAUCCCAUCUGGUAUUAAAGUUCUAAAAGUUAACAGAAUUCUUAAAGGUUCCCAAUGCCUCCCAGAAACCCCAUCAUCUCAAAAUCACUAGCUAUUAAAAGAAGCAAAAAAAAAAAAAAAAAAAGGUGGCUCCUGACCUAGUCUCUUUGAGUAUGAAGACCUAUUUACUAUGUAAAGCUGUCACCUGCCUUGAAAAGAUUAAGACAGCAAGAAAGUUCUUAGAAAGUGGGUAUGUGGCUGGCCUCAGAUAAGGAUAAAUUGCUGAGAAGAAGGAGUUGGGUUUUUUUUGUGUUUUUUUGUUUCUUGUUUUUGAGACAGGGUCUUGCUCUAUCUCCCAGGCUGGAGUGCAAUGGUGCGAUCACAGCUCACUGCAGCCUCAACCUCCCAGACUCAAAUAAUCCUCCCUCCUCAGCCUCCCAAGUAGCUAGGACUACAGGAUGCACCACCGUGCCCAUUGUUUCUAUAUCAGGGUCUUAUAAUAUGGCAGACACAAUGGCCUCCCACAGAGAAAUGAGCCAUAAAAGGACCCUGUAAAAGCAAGGAUGGCUCAUUGUUUUAAGACAGCCAAAUGUAUGGCACUUGGAGAAUUUCAAAGAGUAGAAGGCCUUCUUGAUUGCACUCCCCUUUAACAGCCUUGCCUCUUAUGGGGCUAUGUGGAUCGUUGAAAUGGUUCACAAGUAAAGUGAAAAAUGGUUAUGCGUAGUGUGUCAGCCCCACCCUAAGCUCCCAGAGCCUCCAUUCUGAGUACAAAGGUCAGUUUUCUUCUCGGGACAGGCCAAGGAUGAUGGGGUUUUAAUUUCUCUCCUGAUCCAUGGCAAAGCAUUCCUAAACUAGGCACUGGAAGUCUUGGUAACUGGAAAGAGACAUUCACCAAGAUGAGGAAGGCCAAAACCAAGUGCCUUAUAUAGUCCCUAGAAAGCAUUUCAUUUUAUGGAACAAUCUUUGGUCUCUCUUUUUUUUUUUUUUUUUGUGAGACAGUGACUCAGGCUGGAGUACAGUGAUUAGGUCACUGCUCAUUGCAGCCUCAACUUCCCGUGCUCAGGUGAUCCUCUCACCUCAACUUCCCGAGUAGUUGGGACUGCAAGCAAGCGCCACCAUGCCCAGCUAAUUUUUUGUAUUUUUUUGUAGAGACGGGGUUUUCCCAUGUUGCCCAGGCUGGUCUCAAACUUCUGGACUCAAGCAAUCCACCUGCCUUCGCCUCCCAAAGUGCUGGGAUUACAGGUGUAAGCUACCAUGCCCAGCUCUGGUCUCCUUUCUUAAUCCUGUUGAAUAAGGAAGAUUUUUUUUAUCUGAACCCUCCUCUUACUCUUCUUUCUGUUCUCCUUCCAUGAUCACUUUGUCCAUCUUCCUCUUUGUCAUAGGCAUGUCCUAUUUCUAAUUCCCUUUCUCUUUUCUUUGGUAGGCUAGCCUUCGAGACUGCAUUACCCUCCCCAACUUAAAAUCUUUUGAUAACCCAGGCAGCUGGGUUAUCCCCAAUUUAAAGUCUUUUUGUUGUAGCUGUAUGGCAUUUAUCUAGAGCAUGGGGUACACACAGUAGGUUUCUCUCCUCUCUUUUUUAACAUAUUUAUUAUGUUUAUGCAUGUAAAGAGUUUGUUGUUGGCCAGGCCUGAUGGCUCACGCCUCUAAUCCCAGCACUUUGGGAGGCUGAGGCGGGAGGUCAGGAGUUCGAGAGCAGCCUGGCCAACGUGAUGAAACCCUGUCUCUACUAAAAAUACAAAAAUUAGUGGAACAGGGUGGCUCAUGCCUGUAAUUGCAGCUACUCAGGAGGCUGAAGUAGGAGAAUCACUUGAGCCUGGGAGCUGAGAUCGUGCCAUUACACUCCAGUCUGGGUGACAGAGGGAAACUCUGUUUCAAAAUCAACAACAACAAAAAAAAGUUUAAAAAUUGGAAACCACCAAAAGGUAGUAUUAAAAGGGAAAUAAAAAUUACUCAUAAUCCCAGAACGCAGUCAUAUGCUAUUUUUAGUCUUAUUUUAUUCAGCCAUUUUUCUCUUUACACAAACUUUUUUUUUUUUUUUUGAGAUGGAGUCUCACUCUGUUGCCUGAGCUGGAGUGCAGUGGUGCGAUCUCGGCUCACUGCAACCUCCGCCUCUUGGGUUCAAGCGAUUCUCCUGCCUCAGCCUCCUGAGUAGCUGGGACUACAGGCGACCGCCAUUACACUCAGCUAAUUUUUUGUAUUUUUAGUAGAGACGGGGUUUCACCAUGUUCACUGGGCUGGUCUCGAACUCCUGACCUCAUGAUUCGCCCACCUCGGCCUCCCAAAGUGGUGGGAUUACAAGCAUGAGCCACUGUGCCCUCCCUACAGGUUUUAAAAUUUAUUAUUAUCUAAAUAUUCAUUUUAAAUGUUAAUUUUAGUGUACUUCUUUGAUUAUUUUCUUUAGAGAAAUUUCUGAUUUCAGAACCAAGUUUAUUAGCAUUCACUGUAUACAUUAGCACCAUUAAAACUAGCUAGACCCAAGAAGCAGUAUUGAAUGGGUACCCCUUCUUUACUUUCCUCUGAUUCACUCUACUCUGGUGCUCACAGCUAAGUAAGUAUGUACAGCAAUGGCCUGUCAUUUGGUCGAUUAUCUUUUGUGCUCUGAAAUGUCUUUGUUUUUUCAUCUGCUCUCAAUACCUCUGUGCUCUGAUCCUUUGUAUAUAAGGGUAACCAUAUUUGUUCUUUCCUGUGAAAUAAUAAUUCUUUUCCUUCCAUUCAGAGUAGCUGCCUGACUCAUACAAUGAAUAAAGUCACAUAGACUCAAAGAGUGGAGAUGGAGGUCGGAUGUGGUGGCUCGUGCCUGUAAUCCCAACACUUUGAGAGGCUGAGGUGGGAGGAUCGCUUGAGCUUGAGCACAGGAGUUUGAGAUCAGUCUGGGCAACGUAGUGAGAUCUCAUCUCUGCCAAAAAAUAAAAAUUAGCUGGGUGUGGUGGUGCAUGGCUGUAGUCUCAUGUAGUCCCAGCUACUUGGGAGGCUGAGGUGGGGGGUCACACAUACUUUUUGUUGUUACUGCUUCAUCAUUGGUUCUGAUCACUCAGUGUUCUUUCCCUUACACCAGAUCAUAAUACAGUAUUCUGACUAGGCAACUUAGCUCAGUUUAUUACGAAUAGCCUUAAUUAAUUUGGUAAAUUACUAUGAAUGAACAUUUCAUUCAUUCUGCUAGGUCUAGGUUUUGCCAGCUGUUCCAUUAAGGGACACUAUGGCACGGGUUGGCAAACUUUUUCUGUAAAGGGCUAGGUAGUCUCUCUAUUCAACUCUGCUGUUGUAGCAUGAAAACAUCCAUAGACAAUAUGGAUACAAAUGAGCAUGAUUAUGUUCUGAUAAAACCUGAUUUACAAAAACAGGUAGUAGGUUGGAUUUGGCCCAGGGGCCAUAGCAUGCUGACCCCUGCUCUACAGUAUACAUACACAAAGACUUUCAAACAAAGAUGUAUACAAUAAAACAACCAUUCAGAGUUAUUUGAUUCACAGUGUGUAUAAUAUAAUAAAAAUAAUACAGCUGUAUUUGAGUCAGCACUGAAAAGUCUCUUGUGAUCUGUGUCUUACGUGCAUGAAUUGCAGAAUAUUCAUACGAAUACCAUGAAUAUUCUUCACGGGCCAUGUUAUUACCAUCCCUUAGAGGAAUCUCUUCCUUGUCGUGGGUCUUUCUUUGUAUGGCUUAGAAGUGAUGUUGUCUUUAUAUUGUGUUAUUUGUUCUUAACUUUACAUUAUCAGCUCUGGUGUGCUUACCUUUUUCACCAACGUGUCUUCUACCCUACUUACCUCAUAAGUGAAUCUAAUACAGAGGUUAUUUUGGAUAUAAUCAUUAUCUUAACAGGCAAGAUAGUGGGCUGUGCUAUUUCAAACCCUAAAUUUGGCUUUCAGGAUUAUGAAGUAUUAAUUCUUCCACUGAUAUCUCAAAAGGUGAUCUGGACAAAGGAACAGGUAUCUCAGGUAAGCAAUUGUUGAAUAUGAAAGUAAAUAUUCUUCUUUGAUCGUUUGUUGUAUUUGUUAUGUUUAAUAGCUUUCCUAAUAAUGAACCAACUUUGCAUUUCUGGAAGAAGAUUCGUACUUUUUUGAGACGGAGUCUUCUUUUUUUUUUUUUGAGAUGUAGUCUCGCUCUGUCGCCCAGGCUGGAGUGUAGUGGUGCAAUCUCAGGUCACUGCAGCCUCUGCCUCCUGGGUUCAAGCAAUUCUCCAGCCUCAGCCUCCCGAGUGGCUGGGAUUACAGGUGUGCAUCGCCAUGCCCAGCUAAUUUUUUGUAUUUUUUUUAGUAGAGACGGGGUUUCACCAUGCUGGCCAGGCUAGUCUCGAACUCCUGACCUCGUGAUCUGCCCACCUCAGCCUCCCAAAGUGUUGGGAUUACAGGCAUGAGCCACCACGCCCGGCCAGAUUCAUAGUUUUCAAGAAUUUUGAAUUAUAUUUGCUAAAUUUGAUAUUUCAAAUUUUAUUUUCUAUUUUAUUUAUUAUUUUUUUCCUUUAUUUAUUUAUUUUUUUUGAGACAGGGUCUCACUCUGUUGUCCAGGCUGGAGUGUGGUGGUGCUAUCAUGGCUCACUGCAGCCUUGACCUCCCAGGCUCAAGGGAUCCUCCUACCUCUCAGCCUCCUGAGUAGCUGGGACCAUAGGUGUGCACCACCACACCCAGAUAAUUUUUGUAUUUUUCGUAGAGACGGGGUUUCUCCAUGUUGCCUAGGCUGUUCUCAAACUCCUGGGCUCAAGCUAUUUGCCCACCUUAGCCUUCCAAAGUGUUGGGAUUACAGGGUGGGCUACCAUGCCCGGCCUUUUUCUGUGUUCAAAAGUGAGUUGUUUUGCGGGGGAUGGCAGUCUUUUUCAAUUGUUGAUGUUAGGGUCAUUAAUGAAAUCUUUUGUUGCCUAUUGUUUUAAACUGAACCAAUCUCAAAUAUAUCCCAUGCCAUUAAAUAUACUUUAAUAACAUCUUUUAAAAAUUGGCACAUAAUACACCACUGCAUGAAUGUAAAAAUUUAACUUGUAUCUGAUAUUUGGAACCUUGUUUUAAUUACUGCUCUUUUAAUUGUGUGUAAAUAGUGCUACAGUGAAUAACUCUAUAGAUAAAUUUUUGUACAUAUGUGUGUUUUAUUUCCUGAGGUUGGAUAAAAUAUAUGGUCCUUCUAUUAGUGUAUAAGAAUGCCCGUUUUUUUUUUUUAACUUUUUCACCAGUACACUAUGUUAAGGUUUCAGAAGAAUUUGCCAAUUGUAAAGGUAAAAAAUGGCCUUUGAUAUUUUAAUUUGUAUUUCUUUGAUUCCUAACAAGAUAGAACAGAUAAAAAUCUUGGGUCUUAUUUUUGAGUUUAUUUUUCACACUUAGUUUUAGUCUAUCAUAUGUUGCAGAUAUUUCCCCCAGUUUGGCCUAUAAAUUAUUAAUUUGUAUGUAGCUCAAAUAUCUUUUUCUUUAUGGUUUAUUCUCCACUUGCAUUUUAUAAUAGGAAGAUAAAUAUAUUUUUUAUAGUUCAUAAUUCCUUUAUACUUUUUAUUAUUUUUUUAAAUACAAAUCUUUCCCAUUGGGAACCUUUUUGGUGUGUGGUAUGUAACUGAUUUUUCUAAAUGUUCAGCACAUUCAGGGUUUGGGGGGUUGUAGUAAGGGUACUUGUGGAGCUCUCAACAGCAGGACUUUAAAAAUCUUUUCUCCAGUGCUCUGCUUUUAACAUGACUUAAAUAUUCUCUCAGCCUGUUUCAGUUUUCCUGCCAUUGGCUUAUGCUAUCUUCUAUGAGGGGAGUUAGCAAACUUUUUCUAUAAAAAGCCCAGUGGUAAAUAUUUUAGGUUUUGUGGGCCAUAUGGUUUCUGCUCUUGUAGCAUGAAAGCAGUCAUAGACAAUACAUAAAUGAGUGAGUAUGGCUGUGUUCCAACAAAACUAGUUACAGAAAAAGGUAGUGGGCUGGAUUUGGUUUAUUGGCGGUAGUUUGCCAAUACCUGCUUUAUGACACUGUACUCUUACAACUUCUGCUCACCUAGUUUCUGCUUCGUCAUAGUGGGCUUUCUCAUAGUUAUGCCUCUGAUUUUCCCUUGUAACUUCUUAGAAUACCUUCUUCACCUCUCAUCUUUGCUACUGAUUACCUGUUUCCAUAUUUCACAAUUUUAAGUUUCCGAGAGCACAGGCGAUAGCUAAAUUAAGAUGCUUUGCAUGUUACCACUAUUAUGUACUUUGCUUGGCUGUCUACCCUGUUGCUUCAAUAUAACCAAUUCCAAAUAGCUGCAUUCCUUUUGAGGGUCUCUUCCUUGCAAUCCAGAGUUCAUUGCAAGAAAUGGGGUGAUUUGGAUCAUUUUAAGGAAGUUUAUGGAAUUCAACUCUAGUGUGGUAUCAUUAAUGUAAUUAAGCUCUUCUCUCCUUAUGUGUAUCAUGUUGGUCCUACUACAGUUUGGUUUCCUCAUACUCUGUCUUCCUCUAACCUCCUGGUUACUGAAUACUUAGAUUUUUUUUCUCAUUCAUAACUUGAGCUUUUGCAACUACUAUAGGUGUGACCUUCCUUCUACAUUAUCUUUCUCUCUACAGACUAUCGACUUUAGCUCUUGCUACUCUCCAUGUUGCCAAGUUGUCAUUAAACUGAGAAUCUGAUUCCCUGUGGGUUAAGUUUCCUGAGACCGCAGGGAUAGUAGUUGCUAUUUGGCAGGUCUAGGACAUUUCCCCCUACUGAUUACUAUGUGCAAAUGUAUCUCUUUCCCUAUUUAUGAUGCAAAAUUGCUUUAGCCUAACACAAUCCAGCUACUAUAAGUGUAUCCAGAAUCAAGCUCUAAAACUAGAAUGCAACCCAGUCAUGUAGCAUCCAGAAGUACCUGAACCAUCUUUGGAACUUGACAGUUUCACAGUUAACUCUGCAACCUUACUCUCCUUAUAUCCUGAUGCUAUUUUAUAUGCCUGUUAGGUUGUAUCAGAUCUACAUUCUGAUCUAUAGUUUGGAGAUUAUAAUUUUCUAAGCAACCCUUUGUGAGGUCACAGAUACUUUUUGUUUGUUACUGGUUAUAGGC
RNAcentral lists this long non-coding RNA (9661 nucleotides) under Homo sapiens (human). RNAcentral describes it as "non-protein coding FTX:32". The record is from RNAcentral. Lineage: Eukaryota; Metazoa; Chordata; Mammalia; Primates; Hominidae.